This 352-nucleotide transfer-messenger RNA is filed under the name subsurface metagenome. RNAcentral's name for it is "transfer-messenger RNA, SsrA". It matches the Rfam family "transfer-messenger RNA". From Rfam's summary of the family: Bacterial tmRNA, also known as 10Sa RNA or SsrA, is named for its dual tRNA and mRNA-like properties. Its role is to liberate the mRNA from a stalled ribosome. The record is from RNAcentral.
GGGGGCGAACGGCUUCGACGGGGUGUAGAUGCGGAAGAGGGCAUGGCAAGGGUCCCUCGUGACCUUGUAAAUCCUGCGAGGGGAAAAACAACUGCUGAUAACAGCUACGCACUGGUCGCUUAAUUAGCGACCGCGUCGGUUCUAGGUUUGACCCGUUCGGUCUAGUUCCGGCGGAUAAUCAGGACGGGCGAAGCCUGCGGAGUGUCAUCGGCCCCAGGUGGAUUUCUUAGAUGACUGGUUCCCUAGUGGCCGGUCACGGGGCAGCGAAGGAACGAGACUUUAAACUGUGACUAACCAUGUAGUCCUCGACCGUUGACCAUCUCGGACGCGGGUUCGAUUCCCGCCGCCUCCA